UACGUAGGGGGCAAGCGUUGUCCGGAAUCAUUGGGCGUAAAGAGCGCGUAGGCGGUCCGGUAAGUCGGUUGUGAAAACUGGGGGCUCAACCCUCAGAGGCCGACCGAUACUGCCGGGCUAGAGUCCGGAAGAGGCGAGUGGAAUUCCUGGUGUAGCGGUGAAAUGCGCAGAUAUCAGGAGGAACACCAAUGGCGAAGGCAGCUCGCUGGGACGGUACUGACGCUGAGGCGCAAAAGCGUGGGGAGCAAACAGG
RNAcentral lists this ribosomal RNA (253 nucleotides) under uncultured bacterium. Its description in RNAcentral is "partial 16S ribosomal RNA". It matches the Rfam family "Bacterial small subunit ribosomal RNA", at positions 524 to 776 of the family's 1533-position model. The record is from RNAcentral.